RNAcentral lists this ribosomal RNA (460 nucleotides) under uncultured bacterium. RNAcentral's name for it is "partial 16S ribosomal RNA". It matches the Rfam family "Bacterial small subunit ribosomal RNA", at positions 338 to 795 of the family's 1533-position model. The record is from RNAcentral.
CCUACGGGAGGCAGCAGUGAGGAAUAUUGGUCAAUGGACGAGAGUCUGAACCAGCCAAGUAGCGUGAAGGAUGACUGCCCUAUGGGUUGUAAACUUCUUUUAUAAGGGAAUAAAACGAGGCACGUGUGCCUUUUUGCAUGUACUUUAUGAAUAAGGAUCGGCUAACUCCGUGCCAGCAGCCGCGGUAAUACGGAGGAUCCGAGCGUUAUCCGGAUUUAUUGGGUUUAAAGGGAGCGUAGAUGGGUUGUUAAGUCAGAUGUGAAAGGUUGCGGCUCAACCGUAAAAUUGCAAUUGAUACUGGCAGUCUUGAGUACGGUUGAGGUAGGCGGAAUUCGUGGUGUAGCGGUGAAAUGCUUAGAUAUGACGAAGAACCCCGAUUGCGAAGGCAGCUUACUAAAGUGUGACUGACGUUGAUGCUCGAAAGUGUGGGUAUCAAACAGGAUUAGAUACCCUUGUAGUC